Molecule: ribosomal RNA, 253 nt
Filed under: uncultured bacterium
Lineage: Bacteria
Description: partial 16S ribosomal RNA
Rfam family: Bacterial small subunit ribosomal RNA
Source: RNAcentral
GACGUAGGGUGCAAGCGUUGUCCGGAAUUAUUGGGCGUAAAGAGCUCGUAGGCGGUUUGUCGCGUCGGCUGUGAAAACUUGGGGCUCAACCCCAAGCCUGCAGUCGAUACGGGCAGACUAGAGUGUGGUAGGGGAGACUGGAAUUCCUGGUGUAGCGGUGAAAUGCGCAGAUAUCAGGAGGAACACCGGUGGCGAAGGCGGGUCUCUGGGCCAUAACUGACGCUGAGGAGCGAAAGCGUGGGGAGCAAACAGG